RNAcentral lists this ribosomal RNA (1685 nucleotides) under Unicapsula galeata. Its description in RNAcentral is "SSU rRNA". It matches the Rfam family "Eukaryotic small subunit ribosomal RNA". The record is from RNAcentral. Lineage: Eukaryota; Metazoa; Cnidaria; Myxozoa; Multivalvulida; Trilosporidae.
CGUCUCAAAGAUUAAGCCAUGCAAGUCUAAGUUCACAUCAAUUAAAGAUGAAACUGCGAAGCGCUCAGUAAAUCAGUUAUUGUCCGUUCGAUCAUAUCAGCCAUGGAUAACUGUGGUAAAUCUAGAGCUAAUACAUAGCAAAUUCCGGUUAAACGGAAGCAUUUAUUAGACAUAGCCAACGUAACUUUUAGUUAUAAAGGUGAACCUGAAUAACUGUGCAUAUCGGCACUUGUGCCGAUAGUUCGAUCGAAUUUCUGCCCUAUCAACUAGUUGGUGAGGUAUUGGCUCACAAAGGUUGUAACGGGUAACGGGGAAUCAGGGUUCGAUUCCGGAGAGGGAGCCUGAGAAACGGCUACCACAUCUAAGGAAGGCAGCAGGCGCGCAAAUUACCCAAUCCAGAAUUUGGGAGGUAGUGACGAGAAAUACCGGAGUUGAUCAUAAUGGUUAACUAUCGGAAUGAACGUAAUUUAGUACCUUCGAUGAGUAACUACUGGAGGGCAAGUCUGGUGCCAGCAGCCGCGGUAAUUCCAGCUCCAGUAGUGUAUAUCAAUGUUGUUGCGGUUAAAACGCUCGUAGUUGGAUUACAAAAGCUCGACGGGGCCGCAGCUUAAAUAGUUGUGGCGCUGUGGGGUUUUUUUAUCGCGAGAGCCGUGUGUGGGAUUAAUUUCUUGUGCACGGUCACUUGCGGAGUGUGCCUUGAAUAAAGCACAGUGCUCAAAGCAGGCGUACGCUCGAAUGUUGUAGCAUGGAACGAAUAUGUUGACCAAGUCGAUUGUUGGUUGUUGACAGGGUCUCGAUUAAAAGGAACAUUUGAGGGCGUUGGUACUUGGUGGCGAGAGGUGAAAUUCUUAGACCCACCAAAGACUCACAAAUGCGAAAGCAUUCGCCAAGAGUGUUUUCAUUAAUCAAGAACGAAAGUCAGAGGUUCGAAGACGAUCAGAUACCGUCGUAGUUCUGACAGUAAACAAUGCUAACCUGGGGUUAGUUUGGUUCUAUCCAGAUUGGUCCCUCGGUGAAAAUUAGUCUUUAAGCUCCGGGGAGAGUAUUCACGCAAGUGAAAAAUUUAAAGAAAUUGACGGAAUGGCACCACCAGGAGUGGAGCCUGCGGCUUAAUUUGACUCAACACGGGGAAACUCACCAGGUCCAGACAUUGACAGGAUUGACAGACUAAGAGAUCUUUCAUGAUACGAUGAUUGGUGGUGCAUGGCCGUUCUUAGUUGGUGGAGUGAUCUGUCAGGUUUAUUCCGGUAACGAACGAGACCACGAUCUCUAAUUGAAACGGUUAUUUUGUUUUAACCAAUCUUAGAGAGACAACCGGAGUCAAGCCGGGGGAAGCGUGGCAAUAACAGGUCUGUGAUGCCCUUCGAUGUUCUGGGCUGCACGCGCGCUACAAUGGCAGUGACAACGAGUGCCUGCUCUGAGAGGAGUGGGAAAUCUUGAAAAUCGCUGUCGUGAUUGGGAUUGAGCCUUGUAAUAAUUGCUCAUGAAAGAGGAAUUCCUCGUAAGCGCGAGUCAUCAGCUCGUGUUGAAUACGUCUCUGCCCUUUGUACACACCGCCCGUCGCUAUUACCGAUUAGAUUAAGUUCGGAAUAAUUAGGACUUGCUUGGUCAAUUAAGACCGAGCGGGGAGAAGUUAUAACGCACGUAAUCCAGAGGAAAUAAAAGUCGUAACAAGGUUUCCGUAG